This 543-nucleotide unclassified non-coding RNA is filed under the name Hevea brasiliensis (rubber tree). Lineage: Eukaryota; Viridiplantae; Streptophyta; Magnoliopsida; Malpighiales; Euphorbiaceae. The record is from RNAcentral.
UACAUAGUUUAAAUAGCAAAAAUUGGGAGCUUAAUGUGGGAAUAAGGAAAGUUAUGAAUAAACAAUCAUUAAAUAUCACUUAGUGCUCCACUCACACCUAAAGUGGACCACUUAAUCUGAAUUUGGACAACAGAUUCAUAUUCUUCUUCAACCUCAAAAAUUCAGCCGUGAGCCUCCAUUGAAGAAAACCUCCAUGGCCAUUUGUUUCAAGCUCCAUGCAUGCUUAAUUUAAGCUUCAUUCUUGGCACAUUUCUUCACUAAAAGUUGUCUAUAUACCUUGGGCAGUAGAUUGGCAGCAAAAAGACUAAGUUUUGGAGAGAUUUUGAAGAAUUUCCAAAGUGGUAGAUAGAUUGACAGGGUAGCAGACUAGGCUGCUAGUACAUUCAGCGAGAGAUCAUCGAGUAUAUUGAGUAUACCACAUUUUGUAUUUUGUACUGUAAUGUAUGUUCACUGUAUGUAUAUAUUGUUCUUGGUUUUGAGCAGUUGUAAAUUAAAAUUGUACAUUGAAGUUGUAAAAUAAAUUAUGAGUUAUUUUGACUUGUA